Molecule: ribosomal RNA, 468 nt
Filed under: uncultured bacterium
Lineage: Bacteria
Description: partial 16S ribosomal RNA
Rfam family: Bacterial small subunit ribosomal RNA
Source: RNAcentral
GACGAACGCUGGCGGCGUGCUUAACACAUGCAAGUCGAACGGAAAGGCCCUGCUUUUGUGGGGUGCUCGAGUGGCGAACGGGUGAGUAACACGUGAGUAACCUGCCCUUGACUUUGGGAUAACUUCAGGAAACUGGGGCUAAUACCGGAUAGGAGCUCCUGCUGCAUGGUGGGGGUUGGAAAGUUUCGGCGGUUGGGGAUGGACUCGCGGCUUAUCAGUUUGUUGGUGGGGUAGUGGCUUACCAAGGCUUUGACGGGUAGCCGGCCUGAGAGGGUGACCGGCGUCAUUGGGACUGAGAUACGGCCCAGACUCCUACGGGAGGCAGCAGUGGGAAAUAUUGCACAAUGGGCGGAAGCCUGAUGCAGCAACGCCGCGUGCGGGAUGACGGCCUUCGGGUUGUAAACCGCUUUCGCCUGUGACGAAGCGUGAGUGACGGUAAUGGGUAAAGAAGCACCGGCUAACUACGUG